This is a long non-coding RNA of Trichomycterus rosablanca, 369 nucleotides long. RefSeq lists it as uncharacterized. Lineage: Eukaryota; Metazoa; Chordata; Actinopteri; Siluriformes; Trichomycteridae. The record is from RefSeq and is a predicted model, not a curated record. The transcript has 2 exons.
UCGCUCCGGAUUGGUCGAGAUGCCUGCGCAUCUGAGAGACGACGUCACGCAACCUUCGAAAAAGUGUACUUUUUCGUCGCCUUAAAGGAAAUGCUACUGCACGUUCGGCUGGUGGAGUAAGUGGACAUAGGAUUGGUUCUCAGGUGUGUUCACUGUCUGUAUGGAUUUGUUUCCUCCGGAUACUCCUUUUCCAACUUAUGUCCUCUGGAUACUCUGGUUUUCUCCCAUCUACAUGCAGAAGAUGGAAUGGCAAGUGUAAACUGAUGUGUAAAUAGAUGCAAGUGAGUGAAUAGAUGAAUAGAUUUUGGUAGAUGCUAAUUACAUUUCGUUGCCUUGUACCUGUACUGACAAUAAAGUUGAAUCUAUCUA